CGCCUCUGGCCGCGGCGGCCGCCGCCUCGCUCCGCCCCGGGGAACUGAGCGCGCGGCCAGCCAGCCUGCCAGAGAGACGCCAGCCGCCGGCGGCGCUAGCACCUCGGAGGAGGGUAGCCGAAGCGAGUGGAGCGCAGCGCUGGGAGCCGGACUGGGGGUGGGGAAACCAGCCCGGUCCAGGCGAGGGCCACCCCCGGUCCUCUGCCCUCRCGCCCCGCCAGGGCCAGUUCUCUCCCCAUCCUCUAAACUCCUGAGCUUGGAGAAAGUGAAGUCUAAAAACCAGUCUUUCUCUAUGUGAAUGCCAAACCUUGUGGAGAAUUUGUGUGGUGGAGUUUCUCUCAUCUCAGGUGCUGGUAAGAACACGCAGACGUAUCCAAAGCUGUCUUUGAAAAAGUUUCUAUGAUGAACCUACAAAAAGAUAAAUAAAUGACUGUUAGUAGCACUUUCUUCUUGGCA
RNAcentral lists this long non-coding RNA (456 nucleotides) under Urocitellus parryii (Arctic ground squirrel). RNAcentral describes it as "lncRNA (ENSUPAG00010010210.1)". Lineage: Eukaryota; Metazoa; Chordata; Mammalia; Rodentia; Sciuridae. The record is from RNAcentral.